CCUUGCGCUUUUGGAGAGGCCGAUGCCUGAUUAGCUAGUUGGUGGGGUAAUGGCCUACCAAGGCGACGAUCAGUAGUUGGUUUGAGAGGACGACCAGCCACACUGGGACUGAGACACGGCCCAGACUCCUACGGGAGGCAGCAGUGGGGAAUUUUGGACAAUGGGCGAAAGCCUGAUCCAGCAAUGCCGCGUGAGUGAAGAAGGCCUUCGGGUUGUAAAGCUCUUUCAGUCGAGAAGAAAAGGUUGUGAUUAAUAAUCACAACUCAUGACGGUAUCGACAGAAGAAGCACCGGCUAACUACGUGCCAGCAGCCGCGGUAAUACGUAGGGUGCGAGCGUUAAUCGGGAUUACUGGGCGUAAAGGGUGCGCAGGCGGCUUUGUAAGUCAGAUGUGAGAUCCCCGGGCUUAACCUGGGA
This 416-nucleotide ribosomal RNA is filed under the name uncultured ammonia-oxidizing beta proteobacterium. Its description in RNAcentral is "bacterial SSU rRNA". It matches the Rfam family "Bacterial small subunit ribosomal RNA", at positions 211 to 619 of the family's 1533-position model. Lineage: Bacteria; Pseudomonadati; Pseudomonadota; Betaproteobacteria. The record is from RNAcentral.